CUUGUAGGCGGUUUGUCGCGUCUGCUGUGAAAAUCCGGGGCUCAACCCCGGACUUGCAGUGGGUACGGGCAGGCUAGAGUGUGGUAGGGGAGACUGGAAUUCCUGGUGUAGCGGUGGAAUGCGCAGAUAUCAGGAGGAACACCGAUGGCGAAGGCAGGUCUCUGGGCCACUACUGACGCUGAGAAGCGAAAGCAUGGGGAGCGAACA
This 207-nucleotide ribosomal RNA is filed under the name uncultured bacterium. RNAcentral describes it as "partial 16S ribosomal RNA". It matches the Rfam family "Bacterial small subunit ribosomal RNA", at positions 568 to 774 of the family's 1533-position model. The record is from RNAcentral.